GAGGGUCAAAACCUCGCAGCUACCUUUUAAGCUCGUGGAAAGCAGAAACUGCAGAACCCCUAUACCCCUGCGGCAGGAAACCAAACUCUUUAGUCUCCAGGGCAGCGAUGGGUCAUUCCAGCUCUGUGGAUGAGGAUGUAAUCUGAGAAUUCCUGGAGAAGAGGGCCUGCUUUUUAAAGGUUCACUUGGUGGACUUUCCUCUCUGGGCUCCAAAUCACUCUCAGUUGUUCAGCUUACCAGGACUUAAGUGUCUUCAGGGCAGGUUUUGCUGAAAUGGUGAGCGCCGUCAGACAGAACUUCAGUGAGAUACGGGUCCCGAGAGAGGGCACCAGAAAUGGAUCCAAGCACCUUAUCUUUAACACUGCAACGUUGGACCACUACUUCCAGGAAGAGAGCGUGGAUAUAUUUUCUCUAUUUCCCCAAUAAAUACAAUUAAAAACUCUGGAAGUUACAUAUAAAACAAACAUAAGAAGUAAGUAACAAGUACAGAGGAAGACAAACCUGCUAGCCUCAGGACCAAGAAACAGCAUGUCAAUAAUUUAUUGGAUUUUUGUUUUGUGUCAUAUAUCCCAGGCUGCGUGCCAGGGAACUCAGCAAUCUGGAGAUAUCAAGAGGUGUGCACAAAAAAAGCCACCCAGACACACACAAAAAGAACUUGAUCUUUCUAAAAGCCCAGGAAGAGGGCAGCCUAGCUAGACAGAAAAGGUUCAGACAAAUAACUGCUCUGCUCCAUGCCAACAACAGAGAUAAAACUAUGGCUCCACUCCCACUCUCACCAGGAAAGGCUGAGUGAGGAAUCUGGACUUCCACCCUCACUGGCACAUAAUGAGACUCCACCCAUGGUAUUAAUGAAGACUAUGUGGCAAGUCAGAAGGUCUGGCAAGAAUUUCUAGGCAGUAUAAUAAUACAAGAACUGAUAUAAAAGGCAUACAGAUCAAAAAAUAAAGAAGAAAUACAAUUCUCUCUAUUUGUAGGUUGCGUGAUUGUCUAUGAAUGAAAUCCCAAGGAAUCUACCAAAAAAAAAAACCCUCCCAGAAUUAAUAACUUCAUGAGUCAACAAGGCAACAAGGUUACAAGAACAUACAAAGUCAUACAAACAUACAAAACUCAAUUGUAUUUCUUUAUGCUAUAACAUGGAUAGCUAAAUUAAAAAUAUAAUGCAGUUUCAAUCAAUAAAUAAAAUGAAAUGCUUAGGGUGGGAACCUAACAACAUAUGUAUAGGGUUUGUGUGCUGAAAAACGAUAAAAUGCUGAUAAAGGACAUCAAAGAAGACCUAAAUAAAAGAAGAAACACACUGUGCUUGUAAAUUAGAAAAUUAAAUACAGUAGAGAUAUCAAUUCCCCCCAAACUGUAUAUAGUUUAUGCAAUUCCUAUCAAAAUCCUAGCAAGGUUUAUGUAUAUAUAUAGAGAGAGAGAGAUAGAUAGAUAUA
Molecule: long non-coding RNA, 1430 nt
Organism: Manis javanica (Malayan pangolin)
Lineage: Eukaryota; Metazoa; Chordata; Mammalia; Pholidota; Manidae
Source: RefSeq, a predicted model, not a curated record